Terrapene triunguis (Three-toed box turtle) is the source of this 330-nucleotide long non-coding RNA. RefSeq lists it as uncharacterized. NCBI's taxonomy places the organism in Eukaryota, Metazoa, Chordata, Testudines, Emydidae. The transcript is spliced from 3 exons. The record is from RefSeq and is a predicted model, not a curated record.
GCAGCAGAGGCAGCAACAACGCCAGGCGCCGGGGUCCCAUGAGGAGCGCAGCGGAGUCGCGCCGGUGGCCGGCAGCCGGUGGGACCUCAAAGGGUCAGGACCUCACCUUUACAUCUCUUCAGAAAAAUGGCAAUUCCAACCGAACAAUGCCACUUCAUACCUUGCUGGCUAGCCACUGAUUCAGAACAGAGUUACAGGGAAAAUGCUCAGUUCUGGUUCACCUGCACUACUUCUUCCAGCUCCUGAACUUUUCUUUAAAGUUUAGAUGUUGGUAAUGAAAUCCUACUCCCAGGGUAGGAUUGCCAUCAUCAAUGAUGCUGGAGCACAAAU